RNAcentral lists this ribosomal RNA (2904 nucleotides) under Escherichia coli. RNAcentral's name for it is "23S ribosomal RNA". It matches the Rfam family "Bacterial large subunit ribosomal RNA". Lineage: Bacteria; Pseudomonadati; Pseudomonadota; Gammaproteobacteria; Enterobacterales; Enterobacteriaceae. The record is from RNAcentral. RNAcentral also lists the same sequence under 1 other name.
GGUUAAGCGACUAAGCGUACACGGUGGAUGCCCUGGCAGUCAGAGGCGAUGAAGGACGUGCUAAUCUGCGAUAAGCGUCGGUAAGGUGAUAUGAACCGUUAUAACCGGCGAUUUCCGAAUGGGGAAACCCAGUGUGAUUCGUCACACUAUCAUUAACUGAAUCCAUAGGUUAAUGAGGCGAACCGGGGGAACUGAAACAUCUAAGUACCCCGAGGAAAAGAAAUCAACCGAGAUUCCCCCAGUAGCGGCGAGCGAACGGGGAGCAGCCCAGAGCCUGAAUCAGUGUGUGUGUUAGUGGAAGCGUCUGGAAAGGCGCGCGAUACAGGGUGACAGCCCCGUACACAAAAAUGCACAUACUGUGAGCUCGAUGAGUAGGGCGGGACACGUGGUAUCCUGUCUGAAUAUGGGGGGACCAUCCUCCAAGGCUAAAUACUCCUGACUGACCGAUAGUGAACCAGUACCGUGAGGGAAAGGCGAAAAGAACCCCGGCGAGGGGAGUGAAAAAGAACCUGAAACCGUGUACGUACAAGCAGUGGGAGCACGCUUAGGCGUGUGACUGCGUACCUUUUGUAUAAUGGGUCAGCGACUUAUAUUCUGUAGCAAGGUUAACCGAAUAGGGGAGCCGAAGGGAAACCGAGUCUUAACUGGGCGUUAAGUUGCAGGGUAUAGACCCGAAACCCGGUGAUCUAGCCAUGGGCAGGUUGAAGGUUGGGUAACACUAACUGGAGGACCGAACCGACUAAUGUUGAAAAAUUAGCGGAUGACUUGUGGCUGGGGGUGAAAGGCCAAUCAAACCGGGAGAUAGCUGGUUCUCCCCGAAAGCUAUUUAGGUAGCGCCUCGUGAAUUCAUCUCCGGGGGUAGAGCACUGUUUCGGCAAGGGGGUCAUCCCGACUUACCAACCCGAUGCAAACUGCGAAUACCGGAGAAUGUUAUCACGGGAGACACACGGCGGGUGCUAACGUCCGUCGUGAAGAGGGAAACAACCCAGACCGCCAGCUAAGGUCCCAAAGUCAUGGUUAAGUGGGAAACGAUGUGGGAAGGCCCAGACAGCCAGGAUGUUGGCUUAGAAGCAGCCAUCAUUUAAAGAAAGCGUAAUAGCUCACUGGUCGAGUCGGCCUGCGCGGAAGAUGUAACGGGGCUAAACCAUGCACCGAAGCUGCGGCAGCGACGCUGAUGCGUUGUUGGGUAGGGGAGCGUUCUGUAAGCCUGUGAAGGUGUGCUGUGAGGCAUGCUGGAGGUAUCAGAAGUGCGAAUGCUGACAUAAGUAACGAUAAAGCGGGUGAAAAGCCCGCUCGCCGGAAGACCAAGGGUUCCUGUCCAACGUUAAUCGGGGCAGGGUGAGUCGACCCCUAAGGCGAGGCCGAAAGGCGUAGUCGAUGGGAAACAGGUUAAUAUUCCUGUACUUGGUGUUACUGCGAAGGGGGGACGGAGAAGGCUAUGUUGGCCGGGCGACGGUUGUCCCGGUUUAAGCGUGUAGGCUGGUUUUCCAGGCAAAUCCGGAAAAUCAAGGCUGAGGCGUGAUGACGAGGCACUACGGUGCUGAAGCAACAAAUGCCCUGCUUCCAGGAAAAGCCUCUAAGCAUCAGGUAACAUCAAAUCGUACCCCAAACCGACACAGGUGGUCAGGUAGAGAAUACCAAGGCGCUUGAGAGAACUCGGGUGAAGGAACUAGGCAAAAUGGUGCCGUAACUUCGGGAGAAGGCACGCUGAUAUGUAGGUGAAGUCCCUCGCGGAUGGAGCUGAAAUCAGUCGAAGAUACCAGCUGGCUGCAACUGUUUAUUAAAAACACAGCACUGUGCAAACACGAAAGUGGACGUAUACGGUGUGACGCCUGCCCGGUGCCGGAAGGUUAAUUGAUGGGGUCAGCGCAAGCGAAGCUCUUGAUCGAAGCCCCGGUAAACGGCGGCCGUAACUAUAACGGUCCUAAGGUAGCGAAAUUCCUUGUCGGGUAAGUUCCGACCUGCACGAAUGGCGUAAUGAUGGCCAGGCUGUCUCCACCCGAGACUCAGUGAAAUUGAACUCGCUGUGAAGAUGCAGUGUACCCGCGGCAAGACGGAAAGACCCCGUGAACCUUUACUAUAGCUUGACACUGAACAUUGAGCCUUGAUGUGUAGGAUAGGUGGGAGGCUUUGAAGUGUGGACGCCAGUCUGCAUGGAGCCGGCCUUGAAAUACCACCCUUUAAUGUUUGAUGUUCUAACGUUGACCCGUAAUCCGGGUUGCGGACAGUGUCUGGUGGGUAGUUUGACUGGGGCGGUCUCCUCCUAAAGAGUAACGGAGGAGCACGAAGGUUGGCUAAUCCUGGUCGGACAUCAGGAGGUUAGUGCAAUGGCAUAAGCCAGCUUGACUGCGAGCGUGACGGCGCGAGCAGGUGCGAAAGCAGGUCAUAGUGAUCCGGUGGUUCUGAAUGGAAGGGCCAUCGCUCAACGGAUAAAAGGUACUCCGGGGAUAACAGGCUGAUACCGCCCAAGAGUUCAUAUCGACGGCGGUGUUUGGCACCUCGAUGUCGGCUCAUCACAUCCUGGGGCUGAAGUAGGUCCCAAGGGUAUGGCUGUUCGCCAUUUAAAGUGGUACGCGAGCUGGGUUUAGAACGUCGUGAGACAGUUCGGUCCCUAUCUGCCGUGGGCGCUGGAGAACUGAGGGGGGCUGCUCCUAGUACGAGAGGACCGGAGUGGACGCAUCACUGGUGUUCGGGUUGUCAUGCCAAUGGCACUGCCCGGUAGCUAAAUGCGGAAGAGAUAAGUGCUGAAAGCAUCUAAGCACGAAACUUGCCCCGAGAUGAGUUCUCCCUGACUCCUUGAGAGUCCUGAAGGAACGUUGAAGACGACGACGUUGAUAGGCCGGGUGUGUAAGCGCAGCGAUGCGUUGAGCUAACCGGUACUAAUGAACCGUGAGGCUUAACCUU